RNAcentral lists this small RNA (443 nucleotides) under Pongo abelii (Sumatran orangutan). Its description in RNAcentral is "processed transcript". The record is from RNAcentral. Lineage: Eukaryota; Metazoa; Chordata; Mammalia; Primates; Hominidae.
GUGGGCCUCAGGAUGGGAGUGGAAACAGAGCCUCUUGUUCACACUCCACACCCUCAUCUUCCAGCAGUGAGGGUAGACUAUUAAGGCUCUCAUGUCAUCAAGGAUCAAGGCAAUGGGUUAAUGGAGACUCUAGACGUUUGUUUCCUCACCAGUGAAAAUUAAAUGAAGACCCAGGAAUCACUACAGCUAUAGGGAUGAGAAGGACAUUUCAGCAGCUAGAGUGUGGUGAAAUGGCCCAAGGAGAAGAGUACAAAGCAACAUAAUGGCAGAGAUGAUGUUCAGAUCUCCAGAUAUUGUGUCCCUGUCUCAGAGUCACCAACAGAACUUAAUUUUUCAUUUCCUUUUGACAAGUGAUGAGCUUGAAGUAUGGCAGGCACACAGGCCUGAGACUGGAAUAUGGCUUCCUACUUCUUCCUCUGCAAAUUAAAGACAGCAAGCCCCAG